Cervus hanglu yarkandensis (Yarkand deer) is the source of this 111-nucleotide small nuclear RNA. The record is from Ensembl. Lineage: Eukaryota; Metazoa; Chordata; Mammalia; Artiodactyla; Cervidae.
GUGCUUGCUUUGGCAGCACAUAUACUAAAAUUGAAACGAUACAGAGAAGACUAAUAUGCAUGGCCUCUGUGCAAGGAUGACAUGCAAAUUCGUCAAGUGUUAAAUAUUUUA